This 472-nucleotide ribosomal RNA is filed under the name uncultured bacterium. RNAcentral describes it as "bacterial SSU rRNA". It matches the Rfam family "Bacterial small subunit ribosomal RNA", at positions 355 to 825 of the family's 1533-position model. The record is from RNAcentral.
UCGGGAAUUUUGGGCAAUGGGCGAAAGCCUGAUCCAGCCAUGCCGCGUGCAGGAUGAAGGCCUUCGGGUUGUAAACUGCUUUUGUACGGAACGAAAAGACUCCUUCUAAUAAAGGGGGUCCAUGACGGUACCGUAAGAAUAAGCACCGGCUAACUACGUGCCAGCAGCCGCGGUAAUACGUAGGGUGCAAGCGUUAAUCGGAAUUACUGGGCGUAAAGCGUGCGCAGGCGGUUAUAUAAGACAGAUGUGAAAUCCCCGGGCUCAACCUGGGAACUGCAUUUGUGACUGUAUAGCUAGAGUACGGUAGAGGGGGAUGGAAUUCCGCGUGUAGCAGUGAAAUGCGUAGAUAUGCGGAGGAACACCGAUGGCGAAGGCAAUCCCCUGGACCUGUACUGACGCUCAUGCACGAAAGCGUGGGGAGCAAACAGGAUUAGAUACCCAAGUAGUCCCUGAGCGGGCUGGCAAGGCGCAU